Molecule: unclassified non-coding RNA, 250 nt
Filed under: Schizothecium glutinans
Lineage: Eukaryota; Fungi; Ascomycota; Sordariomycetes; Sordariales; Schizotheciaceae
Description: sequence contains 5.8S rRNA gene
Rfam family: 5.8S ribosomal RNA (bases 1-53)
Source: RNAcentral
GAACGCACAUUGCGCCCGCCAGUAUUCUGGCGGGCAUGCCUGUUCGAGCGUCAUUUCAACCAUCAAGCGCCUGCGCUUGUGUUGGAGCCCUGCGGCUGCCGCAGGCUCCCAAACCCAGUGGCGGGCUCGUCGUCGUACCGAGUGCAGUAAAUUUACCACGCUCAGGGCGCGCGACGGGUGACCGGCCGUAAAACCCCCCAACUUAUCAAGGUUGACCUCGGAUCAGGUAGGAAUACCCGCUGAACUUAAG